RNAcentral lists this ribosomal RNA (494 nucleotides) under uncultured bacterium. RNAcentral describes it as "partial 16S ribosomal RNA". It matches the Rfam family "Bacterial small subunit ribosomal RNA", at positions 28 to 507 of the family's 1533-position model. The record is from RNAcentral.
GGCGAACGCUGGCGGCGUGCUUAACACAUGCAAGUCGAACGGUGAAGCGCCUUCCUUUUUGGUGGGUGUGGAUGAGUGGCGAACGGGUGAGUAACACGUGAGUAACCUGCCCCCUUCUUCUGGAUAACCGCAUGAAAGUGUGGCUAAUACGGGAUAUUCUGGGUCUGUCGCAUGAUGGGUCUGGGAAAGAUAUUGUUUCGGUGGGGGAUGGGCUCGCGGCCUAUCAGCUUGUUGGUGGGGUGAUGGCCUACCAAGGCGGUGACGGGUAGCCGGCCUGAGAGGGUGGACGGUCACACUGGGACUGAGACACGGCCCAGACUCCUACGGGAGGCAGCAGUGGGGAAUAUUGCACAAUGGGUGCAAGCCUGAUGCAGCGACGCCGCGUGAGGGAUGGAGGCCUUCGGGUUGUGAACCUCUUUCGCCAGUGAAGCAGGCCUGCCUCGUUUGUGGGUGGGUUGACGGUAGCUGGAUAAGAAGCGCCGGCUAACUACGUG